Hyaena hyaena (striped hyena) is the source of this 1296-nucleotide long non-coding RNA. RefSeq lists it as uncharacterized. Lineage: Eukaryota; Metazoa; Chordata; Mammalia; Carnivora; Hyaenidae. The transcript has 3 exons. The record is from RefSeq and is a predicted model, not a curated record.
UAAAACGUUAAUGGGUGUGCAGGGCGCGCCGUUUCGCCGGCUGCUGGCCAGAGGUGCUAGGGAGGCGCUGACGGAAGCCCAGGAGAGGAUGCACCUUCCCCUGCCUUGGAAAGCAAUUCUACUUUUAGGAGUCUUUCCUGCAGAAAUACUCACCGAGAAUAGACACAAACAUACUCACGACCACAUACAAGGAUAUUCACUGCACCAUUGUUUGUAAUAAACAAUUCACUUGAAAACGUGAUAAACGCCCAUCAAUAAAGGAAUGGGUAAAGAAAUCACAACCUGUCCAUAAACUGAGCGACGGCUACAUGUAUCACCUUGGAACAAUGUCUGUAUACAAGAAGAUUCUGGCAGGAAAAAGAACUCACCCCAGACGGUCAAGUGAAGAGAUUUUAAGGAAGCGUUUAAUUACAGAGGUUGGGCAGCGUUAGGCCAACAAAGAAGAGAUGGAGAAACGCCUGCAGAUUAGCAAUAGCGGGAAGUCCUCACCGUCCCUCGGGUUUAAGGUGCAAAGGAGAGGACGUAACAGGAGCCCAGUGUCAUUUGGAGCCACGGAGGCAGGGCCACAAGUGGCACUCGGCCAAAGAGGGGUACAUCAGCUGCAUGAGACAGAGCUGAAGCAGGUCUGUACUGUGAUUACUGACACCCUGAAGAUGAUGAUCCUGUAUCCCCGUAAGAGUCUUCACCCAAGAAAUAAAAGUUUAACUGUGUUCAUCUAAACCGAAAACACACAAGACAAUAUCUAGGGAAGUUGGGAACUGAAGAAGCAAGGUACAGUCCCAUCUUGCCCCCGUCCCGCUGCACUCUGGCUCACAUUCCAUUUGGAGUGAUUAGAUCUAUGGGGAGGGAGGAAGUUAUGUUCCUAACUCUCACCUGACAAGUGCAGGGAGAUACCGAAGGCACCUUGACUAAGGUUAUACUUCUCCUUUGAGGAGCUACAGUCAGAGUAUUUGGACACCAUCCAAAUUUGGAAAAAUCAAGUUCAAAAGGACUGUGGUUGUGAGUUCUAGCAAAUGGUGUUGUGUUGAUAAAUACAAAGCAUAGUUCCACAGGUGGAGAAAUUCCUUAUGAUCCAAAAAGACAUGGCUGUUAAGACUUUCUAGAUGAACCGGCGAGUUGAGACAAUAAUUAUUUAAGUGAUAAACCAAUUUGGCCUCCCUAUUCGACGGUGGGAAUAUUAGAAGGCUAUUCCAGGCUUCCAGGCUGAGCUCCAACUACCUAUCUGAACGCCCCAGAAAGUAUCCACAGAUGCUCCAUGUGUAUUUCCCUCCUGAAUUAUACAGAUGAUUGCCCUUC